GGGUUUAUCCAUUCUAGGUUGUUUCCAGUUCCUGACUAUUAGGAAUAAAGCUGCUGUGAACACAGUUGAGCAAGUGUCCUUGUGGUAGGAUAGAGAGUCCUGUGGGAAUAUGCCCAAGAGGAGUACAGCUGGGUCUUGAGGUAGAUCGUUUCCCAAUUUUUUGAGAAACUGCCAUAUUGAUUUCCAAAAUGGCUGUACAAGUUUGCCACCAGCAGUGGAGUAGUCUCCUUGCUCCACAUUCUUGCGAACAGGCACUAUCACCUGUGUUUUUGAUUUUAGCCAUUCUGACUUGUAUACGGUGGAAUCUCAAGGUCGUUUUGAUUUACAUUUCUAUGAGGGCCAUUUUCAUUCAAACUACCAUGGGUACUCGUUCCUCCUAACAGGGGAAGCUUCCAGACUACCCUUCAGCCUCAUGCCCUCCUCUUCCUCUUCUCUCAGAGGUUGAAUGGAGAAGGACAGAGAGAAAUAGGAACCCAGUGACAUGGGAGUCUUAGUGUACCUGAAAAAAAAAAAAAAAAGUCCAG
Molecule: long non-coding RNA, 524 nt
Filed under: Rattus norvegicus (Norway rat)
Lineage: Eukaryota; Metazoa; Chordata; Mammalia; Rodentia; Muridae
Description: long non-coding RNA NONRATT005372
Source: RNAcentral